UACGAAGGGGGCUAGAGUUGCUCGGGAUCACUGGGCGGGAAGCGCACGUAGGCGGACUCUUAAGUCGGGGGUGAAAUCCUGGAGCUCAACUCCAGAACUGCCUUCGAUACUGAGAGUCUUCGAGUUCGGGAGAGGUGAGUGGAACUGCGAGUGUAGAGGUGAAAUUCGUAGAUAUUCGCAAGAACACCAGUGGCGAAGGCGGCUCACUGGCCCGAUACUGACGCUGCGGUGCGAAAUCGUGGGGAGCAAACAGG
RNAcentral lists this ribosomal RNA (254 nucleotides) under uncultured bacterium. RNAcentral describes it as "partial 16S ribosomal RNA". It matches the Rfam family "Bacterial small subunit ribosomal RNA", at positions 524 to 776 of the family's 1533-position model. The record is from RNAcentral.